UAUAAAUAAAGCUUGGCUCUGACUUAAAGAUAUAGCAUUAGCAAAGGAAUACACAUGGUUUUGAUUGAUAGUAGUGAGGCUUAAGAGCAAACAAAAUACAGCAGAAAACAUAUCUUUGUUUGUUUUUAAAGGCAUUAUUUUAUAAAUAAUUCCAAGAUUGUACCACUAUACACCAGUGUCAAAUAUUAAUAUAGAAGCGAAAGCUUGCUUUAGACUAGCUAAGAGAUUUGGUUAAUUUGGUGCCAGCAUCCGCGGUUAGACCAAAAAAUCAAGCUAUAUAACAUAGGUAAAAAGAUAGUUAAACUAGAAUUUGGUUUCAAGAUUUUUUAUUUAGAAGUAAAAUUUGAGAAUAAAAAAGUAUUUUAGUUGUAGCCUAAAAUGUUGAAGCUAUGAUAAUUUAGAAAUAAACUAGGAUUAGAUGCCCUAUUAUCCUAAAUUGUAAAUUUAUAUGAAUACAUAUUACCUGAGUACUACGAGUUCAAAAAACUUAAAACUCAAAGGGCUUGGCGGUACUUCAUACCAUUUAGGGGAACCUGUCUCGUAAUCGACAAUCCACGUUGUACCUUACCUUAUUUAGUAAUUCAGUUUGUAUACCGUUGUCGUUCAGGUAACUUUUAAAAAUAUAGAAGUUGGCAAAAAAGAAAUUAAUCUUAGACGUCAAAUCAAGGUGCAGCCUAUAAAAAGGAGAGGAUGGGUUACAAUUAAUAAUUAUAAUUACGGAAUAAAGACUUAAACACUUUAUGAAGGAGGACUUGAAAGUAAAAAUUUGUAGACAAAAUUUUUGAAUUCGGCUCUGAAGUGUGCACACAUCGCCCGUCGCUCUCGUUGAAAAAUGAGAUAAGUCGUAACAUAGUAGGAGUAAUGGAAAUUGCUCCUGGAUG
Molecule: non-coding RNA, 881 nt
Filed under: Neverita didyma
Lineage: Eukaryota; Metazoa; Mollusca; Gastropoda; Littorinimorpha; Naticidae
Source: RNAcentral